Molecule: small RNA, 156 nt
Filed under: Klebsiella pneumoniae
Lineage: Bacteria; Pseudomonadati; Pseudomonadota; Gammaproteobacteria; Enterobacterales; Enterobacteriaceae
Description: RtT sRNA
Rfam family: tRNA (bases 1-66)
Source: RNAcentral
UAGCUCAGUUGGUAGAGCAGUUGACUUUUAAUCAAUUGGUCGCAGGUUCGAAUCCUGCACGACCCACCAAUCGUUCUGGUGAACGUGAAGGAUAACGUUGCGUCAGCAACGGCCCGUAGGGCGAGGCGAAGCCGAGUCAUCUUGCACGACCCACCG